Molecule: long non-coding RNA, 584 nt
Filed under: Homo sapiens (human)
Lineage: Eukaryota; Metazoa; Chordata; Mammalia; Primates; Hominidae
Description: HSALNT0321280
Source: RNAcentral
AUGGAACAGACAUAGGCUGGAAAUUCCAUGCUUUGUGAGGUAAAUAAAUGGGUAGCAGUCCACAUUUACUUGCUACCAUUCUGUCUGGUGUACUGGUAAUAUCUGGACUGGUUUAAUGGCUUGUUUCAUGGGAGAAGCGCUAAACUUUACCUCAACAUUUAUGUAAAGUUAAAGCUGCACAGAAUAAACCAAGAUUCUGAGUCUUGAAAGUUUAUUUCAAAGAAAAGACAAUGCCUGUGCCACAUAUUUGACUUGGUUUUAUAAAUAUUACGAAGCUCCAGGAAAUAUGAGCAGGAUCUCAAAUAUAUUCAACAAGCUUCCAAUUUUUGUCUUUUGAGAUGGUUGCUCUUGGAACACAGAAAUAUGCUUUAAGAUGUCAAGCCUCCUCUGCUGAUGCUGUAUGGAGAACAGACAAGCUUUCCCAUCAAGCCCUAACCAAACUGCAGAACUGUGAAUAAAAUCAAUAAUUGUUAUGAAAAGGCACUAAGCUUUGCAGAGGUUAUUUAUGUGGCAAUGGAGCAUAAGACAGAUACCAUAAUAUUGGCUUUGUAAGAAUUAGCAUCAUUGAAUAGCAUCUAUUAGGG